Gadus morhua (Atlantic cod) is the source of this 934-nucleotide long non-coding RNA. RefSeq lists it as uncharacterized. Lineage: Eukaryota; Metazoa; Chordata; Actinopteri; Gadiformes; Gadidae. The record is from RefSeq and is a predicted model, not a curated record. The transcript has 2 exons.
AUUAUUGUCGAUUAUUUGUCUGAAUAGGCCUAUCUCACAACUUCCUGGUUCGGCGUUCGAUUUUGCCUUCACCGGGUAAAGUGACUUCCGGUCGCGUAGUCCAUGAUAUUUGACAAUGGCGCGGUCAAAAAACAAAAGCUUCUGUUGUGUACCUCUAUGCGCCAAUUCAAAACAAAAACAACCGUAUUUACAUGUCCACGACUUCCCAAAUAAUACCCAAUACAGCAGUGGCGAUCAGACGGAAUGAAGGAGUUAAUUUCGUAAUUCAGAAGGGGAGUACACUGGUCUGUAGUCGGCAUUUCUCAGCGGCUGAUUAUGACGACGGGAGUGCUACGCUGAAUACUGGAGCUGUUCCUAGUCGUUUUGACUGGAACAGCUACACCACAGCCCCGAAAAAAACACCCGUGUAUAAACGGGUGUCAGCUCGAAAAGCUGAAGGAGAGGACAAAACACGAACGGACCUGAGAGGUACCGGGGAACAUGACUACGCGACACGCCCCCCUGCCGGUGCACUGGAUGAUGCCCUGGAGUAUAUUGCUGAGCUGGAGGCAAGGCUGCAAGAAAUGUCCAUGGGGCCACAAACUGUCCUCAACAGGUUUUGUGUGUCUGAUCAGACCAUGACAUAUUAUACUCGGUUUCCAUCUCAAGAAGUGUUUCAAGUGUUUUGGGAGUCUGUUUUGCCCCUCAACACAAUAUAUUCUUCAUUGGAGCAAAGCACAGAGGAUUGGACAAGAGGCGAUUCCAACACCACGCCCUUCAAGGAAGAUUCCAGUCAUUGAUGAGUUUUCAUCUACUGUUGUAGAGUAGCAACUGGCCUUAAAGAACAGGUCAUUGCUGACAUCUUCCAGGUCAGCACAGCUGAGAUGGUACCAACUCCAAGCUGGAUAUUCCCUCUAAGAUGUGGGACAUUAAAGGGCGAAACGUCAAAUAAAAA